UUUUUUUUUUUUUUUUUGCCAUUUUCACUCCUUUUGUCUUUGGGACCACACUUCAGAAAAACCCUUUGCCCUUGGCAUUUUCUGUGUUCCUAUUUCCAACACCAACAGCUUUUGAAUGAAAUUAUUUUAAGUAAAUUAUCACCUACUUUUAUUAUUUCACCUAUUAAGUGUUCAAAGAGAUCCUUUUUUCUAUAGUUUAUUUUUGAUGAAAGAUUCUUGAAACUCUAAAGAUGAUUAUUAAAGAGUAAAAUUUACAAACGUGACGUGUAUAAGGUAAAAACAAAGUCUGAAAUUAAAACAAUAUAUUCAAGGAUCUAGGAAUGGUUACAUCUCCAUGAAUUCUCUUGACCAUACCAUUGUUAACCAAUAUAAAUGGAAAUUAUGCCUUGACUAUGACAGCUUUAGUUAGGCUUUAACCACACCUUGAUUAAAGAAAAAGAAAAGGAAACACUUGGUUCAACUGACCAACCUUCUUGUGAGGACCAAGUAUUAGUUUGCACUGUGCUUCAAAAUGCAACGCUACCUAACGUCACUGACGACCAGUACCAGUUUGAAACAGUAUAGCACAAACUGUAACAUUUAAAAGUUUAUCUUCUUUUCCAUGUCAGAGUACAUUUGUAAGAUGAAAAAAUUCUGUAAAUAGUUACAAGCUCAUAAAUUCAUGACAGCUACACUUAAAUUGAUCUCAUAAAACAAUAUUUUUAAUGAAAUAUCCAAUAAAUCAUGUAUGACUACCUGCAAAAAAUGUUUCUUUCAGUGUCUUAAUGAAAGAGCAACUAAUUUGGCCCGAUAAAAGUUCGCAAAGAUUUCACCUUGAAAGUAAGCAUACAAGCCUGCAAUGUGAUAUCCAGAAAUGGGUAAGUGGUUAUGAUACCUUCAAGAUAUGAAUGCCUAAUCUCAAAGUGACCCUAUUUUGCCAUUGGUCCAAACAAGAGUACCCCCAAAAACCACCAUCGCCAGUAUGGCUAUUGUCUUGUUUCAAUUAAUAUAGCUGAAAUUGACCCAUUAUGGGAUGCUCCACAUUCUGAAAUGUACAAUGACAUUCGAUGCAUAACCUUCUACCAACAGUGAUGUGUCAAUAGAAAUGGUCCACAAAUGGCGGUCCAUGGCACAAGCAUAAUUUGCCAUCACCAAAGGGGAGCAGCAUAUUUAGCAUCAACAUGGAAGGAGACAAAAUACCACCUAAUCAAUAGUAUGUCACAGUAACUUCCAUUAACAAGUUCCUAUAACUUCUGUAAAGACAACAUUACCAAUGAGAUUCUGUUCCAACUUAAUUUACAUGCAGAGGUUAAACCACUCAACUUUCAAGUCAAAGCAAUGCACAGGAAGAGAAGUAUCCAGAGCCAAUUAGAUAAAAAGGGACAUACUACUAUGAUCUAAUUUUGAGUUUAAAAGCUUAUGUAUACCUGCUAAAAUCAUGUCAAAGAGAGCUUUCCACACGGUAGUUUUUCUUUCACCAAAUUUGACACUGCAUCAAGAAUGAUAGAAACAAAGGUUAUUUUCAAUGUUUCAAUAAGGAUUUCAAAAUCCAAGUAAAAUGUAUUUAGUUAUAAUUUUUUCCUACAAAUAUGCAAGCAAACAACACAUGGUUGCAACAGGAUUAUUUUCUCACGAGGACGAAAAAGCUCAAUAAUUUGUUUAUACAUAAUGUACAACCAUCACAAGCUUCUGUAUCAACACAAUCUGUUUGGGUCCCAUAGACCUUUCCUGGACAUAUGUAGAAAGUUGUAACUGUUAGUCAUUUCUAUGGUCAUAACAAUUUUAUAUCAAAUAGGCUUAUUUUGCUUAAUAAUUUGCUUUAAUUCACAUGCACAAAGUUCUCAACAUUAUUUUCCUACUCACCAAUCUUAUGCUAACUAAUUGAAUCAAACAGCAUAGGCAAUUGUUGAUGACUUAAGAUUGGAUCAAGAGGAGAAAAAGAUAAUGGUGUCAUGCUAUACUACAAAGUAGACAUUCAUUGCUCACAAUCUAUAAAGUAGUUAAUAAGUGACUAUGACUCAAGAUCAGGAAAUUGCUUCUGCAUCAAUAACAUUUAUACAGAUGGUAAUACCUGAUCACUAUAAUGCAUCAUACCUCAAGACUUAGAAUGUUAAUUGCAGCCAAUGCAAUUUCCAAAUAAUCUUUACAAGAAUGCACCAAAAUGUUUUUUUCCAAGGAAUGCAUCAAAAUGUUUACCAGAUUGUGAUACUAAACGAAAGUAAUAGCUUAACAUUCAUGCUCUAGUUACACUUUUUUUAACUAACUAUACCUGUUUUUAUGUAUACCUGUUCAUUUUCAUUCUUUCUUUUUCUUUCCCUUUAAUCUCUCACCAGUGUCUUAUAUCUACCGCUGCCACUUGACACUUCUAUCUCUCCUUUUUUGUAAUGCACCAAAAUGUUUACCAGAUUGUGAUACUAAACCAAAGUAAUAGCUUAACAUUGUGAUUUGAUGUAUACAUGUUCACUUUCAUUCUUUCUUUUUCUUUCCCUUCAAUCUCUCACCAGUGUCUUAUAUCUAAUUGUAAUGCACCAAUUAGUGUGUUUUGUCCGCUAUGCACCAUCUAAAUACCCUAAUCAUUGAAAGUCAGCAAUCGUCUAUUGGACAUCAGUUCAAAUGCAUUCAAGUCGCUUAUCGUUCCAAACAGUGGAUUUCAGACUGAAUUCCAAAUAAAGGAAUUAUACAAGCAAGAACUACAAGUGUAAGGUGUCGAUCGAAGUGUUUUUAUUUCUACCCUUAUAUCAAAGUAUAAUUUCUUCAACUGCUAACCUCCAAUAACUAUACAUCACUACAUUAGCAUUCCAUCACAGCAACCUUUUUGUUCCAAGAAUCGUCGACUAUGGCGACAAGGCAAAUGCUCUCAUCCGUCGACACCGAAAGCGAACUAUUUGGAGAUCAAAAGAGCAGGAAAAGUAAUCGUACCCGAUCGGGGCCUCCAAGGAUUCCGAUGGCCGCCUAUGUCGGCGACUGAGCACCCGAUCGAAUGGGGCUCCAUCGAUGAUGCUCUAUUCGAACCCUGAAAUCGCACCCCAAGGCGAGAAGGGGCGUUUAUACUUUCGGACGCGAUUCGAGCCACGAGACUUUCCUUGGACUCUAUAGUUACCAACACGCCUAGAUACCGCGAGGCCCAUCUCGAGCGCAUUCUGGGCCCACUCCAUCCAACCAAUUCCAGAAACAUAUCUCAGUAAGUAGGGUCAAAUUGAGGACACAUGCUGUAACGAGUGUGUUUCAGACGAAUUACGAAUUAGGCCCAAUCAAAUCAAAUCGAGAUGGAAUUUACUACUUAGGACUCACAUAGGGUGCCUGAUAGGUUAACUGGUCUAUCAACUUCGUUUAGUCUAAACUACUGACCAAAAUGUUUAAGCUGAAGUUGAUAGUAGUACACUCAUCAGACCUUUAUAAGUCAAUCUUAGUCUUGUCCAUUUUCGAUGUUGGACUAAUUAGGGAUGUUACAUUAUUAAUAUAUAUAACUUAAUUAUUUUGAAUUAGUGGUUUAGACUCAAAGAAAAUUAAAAUUUAUUUCUUAGGAUCAACGCACAGUUUCCGCAUUGGAUGCUUGCAGACUUCAGAUACUAUCCUUCAAAGCCCGAGGUCCCUAACUCCUCCUGGUGUCAGCAAUGUCUGUAGGUAGAUCAGUGCAUUCACUGUGUGUGUGUGUGUGUGCAUGCUUAAACAUCAGCAGCAGAAGAGAGCCUUGACGUAACGGUGUUAAUCCUCUUGAGUCUCAGAGAGGCAUGUCAAGUGAAUGCACGAUGAAGCCGCUUCACCUGCCAUUGUUGGGAAGGUAAGCAGCAAUAAAUGCAGCAGAGUCGUCGCAGUUACCUUAAAGAAACCCUAAUUUACUGAGCUACGUGAAAACUUAAUACUCUUCCUCAUUGCAGAAAGGAGGAGGAGUCGACUGUGGGGUACGCGCUUCACUCACUCGAGUACUCGUCUCCUGGCACUUCCAUUUGUUCUAUUGCAUGUGUCCUCAGCGUUUUGUUCUCUAUAUAAUAUGAAUCCACCGUGAUACAGUGGACAACAGGAGAUGACAAUCCUUUAUCCUUCUUACUGGAUGCCAUGAAUGCCGAGUUUGAUGGAGAAGCAGAGAAACAAGACAUUCCCAAGGAGGAGCUGCACACAAAGUGCCGUAUGUUUGGGAUCUUGCACCGAGCCAUUACCAUCCCAUUCACAUGCACUUUAAUUCAUGGAGCAGACUGCACAUCAACCUCAUUCAAUGGCCAUUCAACUUACCUCCUCCCUCCUCGUUCAUGGAGUGUCAACGUCUGGUCACUGAGCCCCAAGUUGGAGGAGCUCAACGCUGCCACAUGGGUCACCAUUAAAGCUUCUGUGUGAGGUAAAAGCAUGGUCCAGGAAGAAAAGGUCAGAUAACAUGUGGUCGAAGCUGCUGGAUGCACCAAAGCAUGCAAGAAAGAGCAGGAAGUCGAUGACAUACAUGAGUAGGUGCCAUCGUUUACACUCUCUCACUCUUCUGUCUCUCUGCAGGAGAUGAUGCCAAGUGAAGCCCUGAAGGAUGUGAGGUGCUUCACGCAUAUGAAACAACUCCAAUGUUAGGGACGAAUCCGGAUCAAACCGGCCGGUCCAGAUUUCCUCAGCCCCGGUCCAAUUAAAAUCCUUGAUUUAUUUAUUAUUAUUUAAAAAUAAUGUUUUUUUGGUACAUGAAAAAAAAUAUUUGUUUUUUUUUUCCUCAAAUAAAUCGUCCAAAACAAUGUGGAUAUGAAGGCGCAAAAAAAAACAAGAGAGAGAGAAAAAAGUUGGGUCUUAUUUGGUUUACAUUUCGCGGUAUUGUGUGUUUUUUGCCAAUUGCCGAAAAUUUUCUGGUCUCCUCGGUGUCUGGUGACGAUUCUGUCGCUGCCUCUCUAAUCUCUCCUGUUUGGAGGAUUCAUCAAAAUUGUUUCUUUUAAGCUCUGCGUUGGUACUUAUCCAUCUCUACUGUUUCCGAAUGCCAUUGUUUUCUUCUCUUCCAUGGAUGAGCUAAAUCACAACGUUUGAUCUCUCAUUUUUCUCUUUCUUCCCGUGCUUUCGUUUCUGUUUGUCCUUGUACUGUGAUCCGUAGAGUUAUCAGGAGCAUAUCUCGCACUGUUCUUUGCUAAAGCUGUUGUCUUUUUUAUUGAUUGGGAUUCGGGAGCUGCUUCUCUUGCGCCGGAAGUAAAUAACAGCGUCUCAGUUCUGUUUCCUCCGUUCUCGCCCUUUUUUCCUUUUGUUUAAUUUGUUGGUCGGUGGCAUUAGUGAAUUGAUUUAAGAGCAAAGAUGCAGUCUUUUUCUAUUUUUAUUCGGAUCUCUCAUGCCUUUUAUCGCCUUGAUUUGGUUGUCAAGCGAUUCUAUAACGCAAGAUGAUGGCUUUGGAGUCACGGAAGAUCUUACUCCUGGUUCCUGAAACCUAGGGUUCUUGAUCUCUUGAUCUUUCCAAUUUUUAGAGAAGUUUCUUCAUCUUGGUUCUCUUAAGGGUACAUUUCUUUCGAUUAAAAGAUGGAUCUUUGCCUUGUGUUUUUCGCGAUCAAAGUUCGGAUUUUUACCCCUCGUAGUAAAUUGCAUUUGUUUGCCUCUUCCAGUCUUCCCCCUUGGGAGCCUUUUGCAUCUCGAUUUCGAGUUCAUGGUUGCUAGAUUUCGGUUUCCCAGGUGGCCAACGUUACAAUGUGGAGAGGAGACCCUUUCUUUUUGUGAUCAUUCAAUCAUAUCUUGAUCUGGUAAUUUGGGUUUCACCAUUUGAUUCUGUUUUUCCUGGUACAGAUUCUUUAUUUCUUUACACAUUUGAUUCCUUCUUAUGGUAGGAUCGUUGGUUCUGCAAUUUGAGCCUAUUUCUCACAUCAAAUUGACCCCAAGAACUUUUCUUUCCCCUUAGUUUUCGAGUUCUUGAUUUACUCUGCAACAUUUUGAGUCAGUGCUUGUGGGUAGAAUUUAUUGAUGCAGCCAUAUUCAUUCACAUUAUCGUUACCUGGGUGUUCAAACACAGCUUUGGGGUUAUUCUCUUUCUUUGGCUUACAGGAUGGCAGAUUGCAGUGAAUUCAGAGCCUGGGAGGAGCUGAUUCCUGAUGCUCUAGGGCUAAUCUUCCGCAACCUCCCAUUGCAGGAGAUUUUGACUGUGGUGCCCAGGGUAUGCAAAUCUUGGUACAGGGCGGUAUCAGGGCCUUACUGCUGGCAAGAGAUCGACAUCGAGGAAUGGAGCCAGCGGUGCAAACCGGAACAGUUGGAUCAAAUGCUUCAGAUGCUUAUAACUCGAAGUGGUGGUUCCUUCCGCAGGCUUAGUGUCUCUGGGCUUCUUACUGAAUCUAUGUUUACCUUCAUUUCUGAAAAGUAAGUAGUGGUGUAGGUUGCAUUUCUACAAUUCUCUCUUCCUUGGAAUUCUUUGAAUUAGUUCAUGAGAUUGCCUGAUUUUAUAGAUCUCACAAACUUGCCAUUUUAUUUCUUUUAUGUUCACAUUGCUUCCUUAUUUGAUUAAGGACUAAUAGGAUUGGUAGAACACACUGCAAAGAUCUUAAGACGAAGUUUAUAUAGAGUCUUGAUGUUUGGUGGUGUUUAUAACUAUAUGGUUUGAAAUUUCUAAUAUUUACAUCAGAAGUGAGAAUUUUGAUAAAGACCUAUUCAUUUGUGCUGUUUCCAUGAAGUUUUCUUCGAAUUGUGGAUAUUGCAUCAUGUGAUGAGUGAAGGACCUUCAGGAUUAAUGAUACAUGUCCCUUGAAUUAAAUACUGAUGCUAUGCUCAACAGUUAGUGGCAGGAAAUAUCCAUGUAGUUGAUUCCAAGUUGCCGGAACUACGGUUAAUUAUACAGACUUGCAUGAUACACACAUCGAUAUUAAAUUAUUCAAACUUGCCUAUUGAUAUACUGCUUAUUACAUAUGAUUAUUCUGUGGAGAUUACUUCACUUGCACAAGUAUUUAUUAGGUUGUAGUUGCUUGCUAACCUACUUGAUUAACCUCAAGUAUAAAACAACUUUAUUAAAGUUUUUUAUUUACUCCUUGUUGGUAGCUCAAUUACUGUAGGAACAAUGAUCAGGUACUAAUAAAUGCAAUGGUACCAAAUUGAGGUUCUGUAUGUAGAAUCUAUUUGGUUUGCAAAUUCUGUAGUUUCUUUUUUUUUUUUCAUUAUCCAAGACGUGACCAAUAAUGUUAUUUAGGUUUGUUAAUGUUGCAUUUGAUGGCUAAACAUUUUUUGUUUGUUUUAUAUUUUUUUUCACUUUUUUUUUUGUUUUGCAAGUGCUGGUUCCCUUCAGAGAUUGGAGUUGCCAAGGAGUGAAAUAAGUGAUUCAAUAGUAGAACGAUUCGCACCGAGGUUUUCGAAUAUCACUUUCUUAGAUGUGAGUUACUGCAGAAAGAUAAGUGCUCAUGCCCUAGAAACUUUUGGAAAGAAUUGCAAGUUCCUCGUUGGGCUUCGGCGUAGGAUGCAUCCACAAGAGGUGGCAGACAAAGUCUGCCAAGACGAAGAGGCCUACGCCAUCGCAAAUACAAUGCCCAAGCUGCAUCGACUGGAGUUGGCCUACCUGCUCUUGACUACCAGAGGUGUCCUUGAGAUCCUCUCCCGGUGCAGGGAUCUUGAGUACUUGGACCUGAGAGGUUGUUGGGAUGUCAAGCUUGAUGAGAAAUACAUAAAGGAAUGGCAUCCUGGAUUGAAGGUGUUGGGACCGCAUGUCGUGGACUGCUACGAGCGGAGCUUCUGGGAAGAUUGCUCAGACUACUCCGAUUCUUCUGUAUACUCCUGGGAUUCCAUGGAUGACGGAGUCGAUAUAUAUGAUGGAGGAAGUGAUGAUGAUGGUAUUUGGGAUGAUGAUCAAGGACUAGAAGGUUUGGAAGUUCGGUUCUACGGAGGUGGUUUUAAUGAUGCAUUUGCUGCAUUUGAAUGGCCUCCAUCUCCCUGACUUGUUGGUUCUUGCUCGAAGAAACUUGAUGCUACUACUUAAGUUACUUCUCUUCCAGAGCUUUUUAGAACCACUAAAAUAUACUCUAAGAUCCUGAUCUAUAUGUCAAUGCUUUGAAGUUUCUGGUAGGCAUUUAUGUGGAGAUCAAUCUCUAAUGUUUAAACGAGGAAAUGAAUAUGUCGGAUCUCUUGUACUCUUCAAUCAAAAUGCUCAUAAAUAUAUGUUUGUACUGAUGUCAAGCUGAUAAAAGUAUCGAGGCCUCUCCAACCAUUGCAGCAAAAUUUUGGAUUCUGCGCUUUGUUGUUCCAAAAGAUGAUAUGAAUGAGAGAAUACUCACUGUAUUCUGUAUCACUUUGCUCAAUGAAUUAGCUUGUGCUGCACAAGAACUAAACCUAUUUCCAUGAUAGCUAUGCAUUAAUAAUGCUGGUUCUUCAGUAUCUUGAUAGUGAUGUACCUUUAUUUUCUUCAAGGAUUCUGAGUUGGCCUUGAAGUUUCCCUUUGAUGGGCCAAUCAUGGAUGUCUGGUGCUUAUAUCAACUUGUUAUUCUUAAUUAUGUGAUGAGGAUGUUGCAGCAACUGAAUUAAGUGAUCUCAAUGGCAAUGAAGGGACCAGUUUUGAUGCCCUUGUUACUUCUUUUUAUCUCAAGACAAGUGGUUUAGAGAUGAUGUUUAGCUUAUAUUAGCUUCAGAUGAGCUGUAGCCUUCUAUUAGAAUUCUAUUCCUGGUGUGGCAUAUGCCAUAUGUUGGCAACUGGCAACAUCUGAUGAUGCCUGGUACAUUAUCAAUGGAGCACAACCUUAUUUGUCAUUUACCAUAUUAUGGAUAUUAUUGAGACAUUUGAAGAUUACAUCAAAGAAUUAUAAUAAAUUGAAUGCUUUUGAUAUUACCUGAGAAAUUGACUUACAAAGAACUAAGAUUCUUGUUGUUGUUUUUGUUGUUGCAUGCAGAGAUUGAAUUUGCAUGGGAAACAGUUUGAUGUUGAUUUGGUUGGCAGAAAACAAACAUUCGGUCUUGUCAUUUGAUGUGUAUUUGAUCAAAUUAAAGCCAUGAAGCGUGCCAAAUAACUCCAUGCAAAGCUCAUGCUUUCUCGAUCUGAAGCAAGCUACCGGUGGAAGGAACUGCGGGGUCUAAAGAACAGGAAGAAAUAUCUGAGGUUUACUUAGCCACAACACUUCCAGUAUCCAACCUCAUGUUUCGACCUCAUUCUCAAAAUGUCAAUCUAUACACAGUGGAGUUAGAUUUCCUCUGUACAAAACACUCGGUAUCUGUCAGCAGGAAUCCAAGUCGAAGAGGAGCUCAGGACCGAGGUAUGGAGCUCCGGCGACACGGAGAUCGUCGGGCGUGUCUAUCUCCUCCAGCACCACAAAUCCUACACCACGGAAUCUAAUCAUAUCUUAUCCAAAUUAAACAUAUAAUCUAACAACAAGAGCAUGUUCUCGAUGGUUCAGUAAGCGCAGACCAGCACUCACUCACUCACCGGGAAGAGGAGGUAUGGGGAUGUCAACGUAGUAGGUUGAUGGCCUUCCUUGCUCCUCCGAGUAUGGUGGAGCCAAGACAUCCAGUAUGGCACAAGGAGUCAAGGCAAUCAGAGAAUGUAUGUUGCCACCACUCCUUGGGAACAAAACCGAUGCCUUGGAUGAGGCUUGGAGGACAGAAUCAUCAGCUACAACCUUUGCUAACCCACCUAUUAUCCAACAAAAGAAAGGAUGUUAAUCUUAAGAUUACAGAGAACCACUGAGACAGAUAUGGAGAUGCAUAAACAGAAAGUGCUGUGAAUUGUCAUUAUACAUUUAACUUGUUUAUCUUGACUGAGGCACAUACAAAUAACUACUGCUGUUCUCCAAGAAAGAACUUAGAACAAAGUUCAAUUGAAGAUUGUAUGGUAAUAUAUGGUCUAAGAUUACGUCUUUGACAUUCCUCAGAGCCUUGUUUGGUCAAACAUUGUCUGAAUUAGAGCCAACAAAUGCAAAUCUCAUUUACUUGCAUUCGGUGGUUUCAUCUUUAGUUGAUUCCAAUAGCAAACGAGCGAAUUCAGGAAAAACAUCAGUGCAGUUUCUAAUCACACUCUCUCCAUAAGCUUCUUUUUCUUAUGGCAUCAGUUUACCCUGUUCUGGGAAACAUACAUAUUCCGAGGUUAAAGUUCUUCCCGGCCACUGUUCAGCAUGCAUAAAGAAAGGGCUAAGAAUCGCAAGGGUGCUUACUUCUUUUAGGGUUGGAGAUUGGGGUGGUGACCCAGUCAUAGGACUUGAGUGCUAUGGAACCAUACAACACUUUGGUGAGGACGACCAUCCUUGGAUGAUCAUGCAGAGGCAGCCUUGCACCAGCUGGGAAGCAGAACACUCCUAUCUAACCAGCCAAAGAUCAGUUAGUGAAGCGAAUCCAUGUCAGAUCCGACAUAAGAAUCUUACAAUUAGUUCGCAUUGUUUCAGUGACAUGCAUCGGUUUCUCAAAAUAGUAGAGUUGUAGAGGGAGACAUUAAGUACCGAGAAGUCCUCGCAUUCAUGGAUGUGUAUGUACGUUAUCUGCUUUAUCGCGUGCCCCAAGAUCAGUCCAUGGCUGCCGCCGGCGCCGCCGCCGCUUCUCCCACUCGAAACGCUUCCUUCUGAUGUUUCAUCUGACGUCGUCGAAGCUCGUGAUCUUUCAUCUCCAGAUCCGUCGCUUGCAGAAUCCACAGCCUCAUCCCCAGAUCCAUCAAUGGCGACACAGCUCGUGCUCUCAUCCCCGGAUGAACCAUCGAUUCCCACGUCGGCCGGUUCCAUGGCAUCUGCGUUCGAAGCAAGAAGAUGAAGUAUGUGAUAACAGUAGCAUGCAGCGAGCGCACGCACAUCAGGAUCGGCGGAGAGUGCGUUACCAAGGAUGCCUUGGAGCCAUCCGAGCUGCCUCGGAGUGGGAAGUUCUGCCCUCCCGGAGGAGAAGACCAUGUCACAGGCAUCAUACAGCCGCUGCAUCUUGCUGCCUUCAGCUUCCAUGGGCUGCGCGGCCAUGGCCGAGAGCGGAGAGGCAGCAGCCUUAUAGUAAUGGGUGCGAAUAGGAUGAUCCGACUUCAACCUGCCGUCAGAGUAACGUCUGUGUAUAUAUAGAUUGCAAUCUCCUGGUGGUUGGAAGUCCCACCGGAGGAGGCUUUACCACCCUUGCACACGUUUAGGAAACCAUGGGCUCCCACAACUUCACAAGGGAGCUUUCUCUUUCUCCCACCACCCUCUCCCUGUUUUCCUGUUGCAUGCUUAUCCUCUUGCACGCACCGCACGCGCCUGUUCAUGGUAAUAAACAAAACGUGCGAGCACCGGGUUCAGGUGCUGCUCCUGAUUCCCACCACCUCCUCGUGCAUAAUAUCUCUAGUGCUAUGUUCGUAUACAGAUAGUUGUACGUAUCAUUCAAAUAGAUAUUGGAAAAAGUAGAAAUCGUUAUCGUCACCCGGUGGUGCUGAUAAACCGACAAGGAGGGAGAGGAACGGGUGGCAGCAAAUCCAAGCCGUCACAGAUCGAAAUGGAAACAGCGGCAGAAUACAAGCGGUCGCCAAUGGUGGGCCAGCCUCUUUCUGCGCCGCCCGAUGGUCUACCCCUGCUUCGGCCGCGACAGGCACCAGCCUUUUUUAUAUCUUCUCAUCAUUGCGUGAGCGGCAUUCUUCUCAUCGUACUAGACGUGGAUUCGUGCGAGGACUAUGAAGCUCCCUCUGUAGAUUGGUGUGGAGGGGAUCUUCGUGUCUAUGCUUUAAGAACUGCGCAGGGGCGCAAUGACUCCAUCAUGUCUCUUCCCCACCACUUGAUAGCUUAUGUGUUGAACUACAGUGCUCGAAUGCUCCACCAGAUCACUGACGGCGACCACCAAGCCAUUUAUGAGGGUCGGAAAGAGAAGCCUGGGUCCCUCUGUAGUGUUCCAUCGAAGUGGUGGGCCACCCUUCCCUGCGCUCCUGGUAUUGGGUGAACUCACGAGAUGGAAAGACUGCAUCACAUUAUUACAAGUCAGCCCUCUCUCUCUUUCUUAUGGUGGGUCACGGGAGAAUGACCGACGGGAGAGUUAUCGGGGGCCCCUUUCGGGGUCUCGGAAGUAGUUCAUCCUCCAACCGGGAUCUGCCACGUCGGAGUGGCAAGUGAAAGCAAUCCAUCAAUGUCGUGAUCUCGUUAUUCAUUGCCCGUUGUUGUCAUGCUUUAACUUGGCGUGAUGGGAUAGGGUGGCAGAAGGUCAACCAAGGAGUUGACCUGGGAAAAACUGGGUGCCCAUGAAAGGAAAACGUUGUCAACAAUAAAUUUCUGAUGGAACAAUUUAUUUUCUUAUCAAUCGAUUGAUUGAAUUUAUUAAAGAUAUAUAUAUUUAUUUAUUUAUAUGUUCUGCUUCACAAUGGGAUCAUUUGGGUGGACAGUGAUUUGUCCAGAAAAAAGAUAGCUAAUAGACUGUUAUGUAUAGGAAAAGUUCCAAUUCACGUAAUUACAGCAAAUUAAAUGAAAGCAAUAAAAGAAAUCGAGUCCGCAACGCAACAACUCCCACAUAAUGAUAUUUCCUGUGUCACGUGACCUGUCCGAUGGUACGACACAUUGCGCAUCACAAUGAUCAUAACAGUGAUUCGGCCCACUGAUUUCAGAUGCAAGAAACCAGGCAGAAAAAAUUGUGCACAACAGAUGCAGCUUUCGAAGGCAGAUCACAAGUCACAAUGACAUAAGAUCAAACAGCUACUGGGCAGGAAGGUUUCAGAUAAAUGAAGAAAGAAACAUCAUUCACCAGUAUGAACAGAUCAGUAGUAUCAGUAGAAACCAAGUAAGUCUACAAUGGAAAGGUCAGUAUUGUCGGAAAGAGUAUGCUGCACUUGACUUUUGUAUAUCCACUGCAUGAGCCCACUGAUUUAUGCAGACUAUUGAAACACAAGUUGUGAAGAGAUUCUUGCAUGAGUCGAGAUGUAAUUGGAACAAAACAUGCAAACAUAUGCAGAAGAAGUAACAACACAAUUAUUAUUGUAUAAUUCAAGAGACAAAAUCAUCUGAUAACUUAUGGCAUAACAUGCAACUUUAGAGACGUGGGUGCUAAGACAUCAAGGUGGAAAUAGCAAAGACAGUUCCAAAGUCAAAGCUAAAACUCAUAGAAUAAUGCAGAAUACAGCAAUUGUUGAAACAUAUUGUAGUAAAAGACUGAUAGUGGGUAAAGAUUGUAACACUGACCUCAGGGAGGAAAGCUUGGAUGGUGGCAGAGGGCAAUCACGUUUAAUAUAGCCACCAGUUUAAAGCCAAUGAUUGGACUUCUCUCCAACUGAAUAUAACUAUGAAAAUGAAGCAGUUGACCAAAAUCUUAAAGAUAUGACACUGAUAGAAAACACAAGUGUCACUAUAUAUGACUGCAAUAAAUUCAAACUUAAUCCUAACUAAUCUAAACCCACACUUAAGCAAAUCCAGCUGCAUCGCAACCUUUUUUACGUCGGGUAUCAAGAUGUCUCGACAACUAAAAUCUACAUACUUACCAUGUUCUACUCACGAUAAAAUUUCAUCUUAAAUAACCACACAAGGUUUCUGUGAAAUAUAAAGAAUGACCAGAGAGAAUAACAUAAUUCAGCUUGUAACCCUACAUUCAUGGACAAAAGAUCAACUUUCACUAUGUAAAAAAGCAAAGAAGAACAAGACGACUGCAGUAAUUCCUGAUACAAAAAGAAGCUCCAUAAAAAUAGCCUAAUUAAAGGUAUAACCAGACUAGAUCAUCAAAAUUGGUCCAUACAUUUACAUGUGCACACACAUGAAAAAUAAACAAAUAAUCAAAUUCGAGAAAACAACAGAUUGCUAGAGUUAUAACUGGUCCUUGUUCUUACAAUUUUUCAACUUAGCUCCUAUAAGAAACAAGCUGAACUUAAUGCGGUUCUUACUUUUCGAUACUUGAAGAUCAUUCAAAAACUUGCAAGCUUUACAGACUUGUAUUUAUCCAAGUUCUGAAAUCAUAUAGGACAAUAGCCUCUCUAAGAACACAUGGAACAUGCAGCACAACAUUUAAUCACACCCCUUGAACUGGAAAAGAUAUAACAAUUUGACCUAAAGUUUACUUGCUAUUUCUUACAUAUGCAUAUGUUACAUUUAAAUUAGUUACAAUAUAAUGCUUCUUGUUAGCGGAAGUAUAAAUAUCUCAUCUGCAUACAAGCUAGUCUUUGAAAGAUGUGCCUCUACUACAAGGACAAGUUAGCAUAAUGACUAAACAUUUUCAUAUGAAAACCUAUCCUCUCAAGCUCAGAAAGAAUUUUAUCAAUAUCCGGAUGUGAUGCAUCUCCUACCGAAAACAAAUGAACCUUGUCAGCAAUCUGAAUCCAACUGUAUCCGGGUUGUUUCUUGGCUCCAUUCUGUUUCAUUAAGCCUCUCACUUUAACUACUUCCCUCCACAUACCAGCUGCAGCAUAAAUAUUUGAUAGCAUCACAUACGCCCCCGACGUCCUAGAAUCCGACAGAAUUAGCUUCUUAGCAACCAAUUCUCCUAACUUAACAUGGGAGUUCAUUCGGCAGGCUGCCAGCACAGCACCCCAGGCAGAAGUCUCUGCUUCAUACGGCAUUUCUCUAAUAUACUUACAUGCUUUCUCUAAAUGUCCUGCUCGACACAGCAUAUCCACAAGGCAUGCAUAAUGUUCAGCCCUUGGAUGUAUCCUGUACUUGGACAUCAUCAGAUUGAACCAAUUUAAGCACUCCUCAACUUUUGCCACAUGCCCACAUGCAGACAAGAUACUGAGGAAUGUGAUCUCAUUUGGUAUCAUGCCCUUUUCUUCCAUCUCACUGAAUAGAGAAAGAACAUUAUCAUAGUCACCAUGCUGCGAACAUGCUGCAAUAAUUGCGUUCCAGGAGACCAGAUCUCUAUUCUGAAUGUUCUGAAAGAUGAACUGUGAAUCACCAAUGCAACCACACUUGCUGUACAUAGUUAUCAAAGCAUUACAUAGUGAUACAUUCAAGAGCAAUUUAGUUUUAAUGGCAAAAGCAUGAGUUUGCUUCCCUCCUUGUAGCAAUCCCAGAGCAGAACAUGCUGUCACGACCGCAAUAAGCGUAGCAUGGUCCGGUUUCAUGCCUGUAUUUUGCAUUUGGAUAUACAGUUUCAGCACUUCCUCACCAUGCCCGUUGUGCACAUAGCCUGCAAAUAAAAAUAAAAUAACAAAGAUACAGAGAUGAGCUCAAGCAUGACUAGUUCGAACAAAUGCUACAUAAAAUAGAGGCACCAAGAAAUUGCUAGACAGUUCAUAUUCUUAAUUUCUAUAUGUUCUUUAAACAAUGUAAAUGACAUGAAAUCGACAACACUGUUAAAAAGGGUACCCAAGUACAAUCAUACAAGAAGGUAUAGAAUGAUAUACUAUGGAAAGACAUGACCUACUGUAAAGAACCAUGACAGUGGAAGUGUGCGAUAUGAAACUCGAGAAUGGGAAACCGGAUAAUUUGAAGUUUAUAGAUGAAAGAAGAAUUAAAGACACAAGAGAUCAGGAUGAGAUACUUUGAAGUCACUUGAGCAAGCUGAACGAUAUUGACACAUGCAUCAUAUGCCUGGACAAGUAUCCAAGCACUAUGUUUCACAGGUAUAACAAAUGUUGCAUUAGUUGUUCACCACAGGGAUCCUCACAUCUUCCUAGGGCGGCACUCUCUUGCUUGACUGAUAAACACUGCUCACCUAAGCCCAAAACUUAAGAGACCAUUUAUUCAAUUGCCUCUGAUCAACUAUAAGAAUUUUUCUCAGAACAAGAUUACGUUAUGAAGCGUUUUUACAAAUUAAAAAGGCCCUUUGGAAUUAUUCAAUGAAUUUUCAGAAGCCUCCAUGAAUUGUUAAAGCUCCAUUGUUAAGAUGAAUUAUGUCGGAUUUUUUUUUUCACUUAUCUUCCAGACAGUGCCUAACUUGAAAGAAAUUCAAGCUAAAAAUCUUCCAACCAUACCGGCCAUCAUCGCAUUCCAACAGAUUAGAUCCUUGUGCCUAAUCCCAUUAAAUAUGCUCCUCGCCUGCUCGACAUUCCCCUCCUUGCAGUACCCUGUGAUCAUCGCUGUGAUGGCAGCCAGGUUUUUCUCUGGCAUCCGGUCAAACAAAUACCUGGCCUCCUCGUACCUCCCAUUCUCCACGCACCCACUUAUCAUGGCAGCCCAUGAGACCGCGUUCUUCUUCGGCAUUCUAUCGAACAGAUCACGGGCCCUGUCAACCUCCCCUUUCCGCGCGAGACCAUCGACCAUCGCGGUGUAUGAGAUCACAUUCCUCGCCGGCAUCGUCUCGAACAACCUCUCGGCUUCCUCGAACCGGCCAUACUUUACGAGCCCAGAGACGAUGGCAUUCCACGAAGCGACAUUCCUGAGGGGCAUCUUUGCGAAGUAGUCGAGCGCCUCAUCGGGCCUCGCGUUUUCGAGGCAACCGGCGAUGAUGGAGUUCCAAGACACGGUGUUCCUCUGGGGCAUGGAGUCGAAGAGCCGCUUCGACCCCUCGAGGUCUGAGUUCUGCCAGUGGGCGGUAAGGAUGGCGUUCCAGGAAACGGUGUCACGGGUGGGCAUUCGGUCGAACAGUUGGCGGGCGGCAUCGAGCUGGCCGGCGCGGCCGAGGGAUCCAAUCCGGAGGUUGUGGAGAAACACACCCCUCGGGGACAUGGCAUGCGGGAGAGGUUUCGCGGAUCGGAAUAAAGCAUUGGUUUUGGAAUAGAAUGGCAGCAGAUGAUUGAAAGAUUUAAAGUAAGUGGCAUACUGCAAGAAAGAGAAAGAACAAUUACGUAGCUUUGAGGAAAGGUGGGGAGUGGCUGUUUUAAGUAUUAAGAGCCACCAACUGGUUUUUAGAGGCUAUAUUUAAAUUAGUCGAGACACUUCUCGAAUUAGGUUAAUUAUUUAUCUUUAAUAAUUUUAUACUUCUAACAAAACCUUUUUAUUUUUUAUUUUUUAUUUUUUAAACUUAACUUUUUAACCUAUCCAAACAUCUCAAUACAUCACUUUGUUAGUAUAAAGAUUCGUAAGAUAAUUACUAUAAACUCAUCUAUAAUUAACUCUCCUAGAUUUGGAGAAUACAUUUAUAUUAGUUUGACAAAAGCUUUCUUAUGUUGAAUGGAAAGCAUCAUUCUCGAUAUACAUACGCAUUCAGCGAUAGCUAAAGCAACAAUCUCGAUGCACUUAAGUAUAACAUGCAUCACAACCAGACGCCCAGCAUCUAAUAAAACAAUGAGCUAGAAAACACCUGACAUCUGAAUGCGUUUGAGAUCAUUGACGAGGCCAUAUUAAAUGCAAACAACGAACACUCGGGAUACGUCGUAUCACACAUCUAUAGAAGAGACGAUAACAUAUAGAUUCGUCUCAGUUACAGAUUGGCACACAAGAAAAACUAUCAGUCAUCAAUAACAGGAUGGAUCCAACACAGAGUCAUACUACUAUGAAACCUAGUACUACAAGUUCAGCUUGUUUUAAGCACGAGAGCAGCAUGGAUAACACAAAGUCCGACAACUGUUAACAGCUAGUGUCAUGCAUAACAGAUGAGACAAAAACAGUC
RNAcentral lists this long non-coding RNA (17271 nucleotides) under Musa acuminata (dwarf banana). RNAcentral describes it as "long non-coding RNA (MACU_LNC001118)". The record is from RNAcentral. Lineage: Eukaryota; Viridiplantae; Streptophyta; Magnoliopsida; Zingiberales; Musaceae.